This 428-nucleotide ribosomal RNA is filed under the name Onthophagus malabarensis. RNAcentral's name for it is "partial large subunit ribosomal RNA". Lineage: Eukaryota; Metazoa; Arthropoda; Insecta; Coleoptera; Scarabaeidae. The record is from RNAcentral.
AGUCUGACCUGCCCUAUGAUAGUUAUAUUAAAUGGCCGCGAUAAUUUGAUCGUGCAAAGGUAGCAUAAUAAUUAGUUUCUUAAUUAGAAACUGGUAUGAAAGGUCGAACGAAAAAAAAACUGUCUCAAUUUAAAUUUAAUUAGAAUUUUAUAUUUAAGUUAAAAAGCUUAAAUAAUUUUAAAAGACGAGAAGACCCUAUAGAGUUUUAUAUUAAUUUAUUUAUUUUUUAGUUUUAGUAUUUUAUUUUAAAAUUUAUAUAUUUAAAUAUUUGGUUGGGGUGAUUGAAAAAUUUAAUGAACUUUUUUUUUUUUUUUUCUUUGAUAUAUGAAUAAUUGACCCAUAUUUAAGGAUUAAAAAAUAAAAUUACCUUAGGGAUAACAGCGAAUUUUUUUUUGAAAGUUUUUAUCAAAAAAAAAGUUUGCGACCUC